AGUCAUAUGAAAUUAAAUUGUCAACAUUAGAACAUCAACAAGUAAGAUUUUCACGAAUGAACUGCAGGGUUUUGCCUAGGGGCCACCCAUCGUGUAACAUGCAUGGUAUAGCAUAGCAGUGUGAGUUGCCUGCAUACCAUGUGUCUCCUAAGAUAAUGAGAUGUGUAAGUUACAUGUACUUCAUGAGGCCCCGGCCCAAAGCUAGCGUGAGUUAAAUACAACUCACAUGGCAGUUAAAUGUGUUAAAAAACAAAGGGGCUUACAAACUGGCUAAAUAUCAUUUUUCUUUUCAAACUGGGUAUGGGAUGGAGAAAGAAGCUUGGCUGGCAGGUGGUCGUGUUAUGCAGAUAAAUUUCGCCAUAACAACUCUCAGGGAAAUGCUUUUAUUCAGACAUUUCUGGGUGUCAGACUCUCAGCAAACCUGUCCCAGAUCAAACAGGCAGGGCCUGGCUGCAUUUAACGGAGGUUCAAGAUGCAAAUCUCUCCCUGAGUCUUCCCACCUGGACAGUCUUAGGGCAUUUUUCCUGUUUACCUGAAGCCAUCUCAAAAUAUGGCAAAGAAAUGUAUUUUGGGUUAAAAUAUUUAUUUUCUUCAACCAUAAAAAAAAAUCCCUUCAAGAUAUACAGCCCCUAUAAAAUGAGCGCAUGUCAAUUACAACCUUAGGACUGUAGCCUUAAUAAAUUCUUAAAUGUCAAUUACAAGUUUAUCUCCACAGAUGCAAAUCAGGGCAGAGAUAAGAUCAUUCUUCUACCCUCUGAGAAAAUAUUCACAUUGACGAUUUCCUUUACCCCCAUCAUCUUGAUGUACAGCUUAUGUAGAUUUACUGAGCACCAAAUAGAGCUUCACAAGAAUACCAUCAAUUGCCUCUCUCACCCCUCCUCUUUUGCCCUUAGAUGGAAGUUCUCAACUUGUCCUGAGAGCCAACGGCAGAUACUGUGUGGGCUCUGCUUUUCCCAGGCACGUUCUUAAAAUCUCGGCUUAAUAAACCUCGACUGACUGUGACUCUCUUGCUUUCAGUCACUUACUAUUGAAGCGAGCAGCAUGAAGAGAUGUUUCUCGUUAUGAAUGGAUACAACGGCAUGGGUCUUAAUUAUCUGUCUCUCGUGAACCUUAUUAGCAAAGAUUAGUGUCACUGAGGCCCAUCAACUCUUGGACACUGAAAAGUUAAACAUUUUACCUUUAAAGGCACUAGAAAGGCUACUUUGGUUUUUAAAAAUCAGCAUUUUAGGGCACACUUAAAACCAUGACUCAAAUAUUAUAAAAGUGAUUCAUGUAACCCAAAAUAUUAACAUUUGUACUCCCAUAAUACUUUGAAAUUGAAAAAUGUAAAAAAAAAUUAGCAUUAUGAACUAAAAUAAAAUCUUAAGGCUCCAGCUCAGUCAUUUCCUCUCCCACGCCCUUAGUUUUCCAUUUCCUUAGUUCUCAUUCCUGUGCACGGUACAGGCCACACGUGAAGCCGGUUCAGAGAGGCCGCCGCAGGCCGGGGUCCACGCCGCCGGCAGAACUGUCGACCUGGUUCGACAGCCUAACGGCGCGGCUUGAACCUUGCGGCAGCCCGUAGACCCCAUACUUUCUCUUCCGGAGCUCAGCUGGAUGGAUCUCUUUAUUUUAACCAGGGAGGCUUGUGACUGAGAGCUGCCUUUUCGCAAAGAACUAUCAGUCAGUAAAAGCCUCCGUCCAGAGAAAUUCUGGCCUCCGCGUCCCCUCAAACUGCCUCAAGCGGCGCGGCCGGAACUGCGCAGGCGCGGCUCCGCUGACCUCGCCGGGUUCACUUCCGGGGUUCGCACGCGCCGCUCUCUUGCUUGGGCUCUAGGCUCUGGUGUCAUCUCCGAGGUCUCCUACCGCGUACCGGCUCGGGCGGGACUGAGGGGACCAAGCCAAACCGUAGGGCCCGCUCUGGCGUGGCCGCAUGAUGCUUCCCUGCCUUGGCUGCUGCCGCUGCCGCCGCCGCUGCUGCGGUCGCCCGAGUGGUGCCGCAGUGGCGGGCGACAUCGCUCGGGCCGCAGAUCCAUACACAGAUAAAGGAUGAGCUUGAUCCAGACGACAUUUAUGAAGUUCUCUAUUGAAAUGUUUUGAUUUUCCAUACACGCUUCUCUUAGUUUUAUAUGAAAUUGCUUUUACAAAAGGAACUUAAGAUAUUUUUGAAGAAAGUGAUUAGUAAAUCUUCGUGGAAUGUAUUUCUUUUUAAAUGAAACUCAUUUAUAAUAUAAAAUUAUCAAUAAUUAUGAAUAAGUGUAUCUCAGAGGAUCUUUCAGAGAAAGAUCUUAGACAUUCAUCUGGGGCUGCCGAUCAAAAAGAAAAAACACAGUAAAUGCACAAGUAGAAGAUAUGGGCAUCAUCUCAGAUAGGAACUCAGAUGGAACUCAGCAUUACAUAUCGGAAUUGAAAUCUCCACAACAGAAACUUCUGAAGAAGAUUUUGAUGAAACCACAUUUAGAAGAUAUAAGCAACUCUAUCUGAAAGAAUUGAAACAUAGAAAAUCUUCAUCCAGUAAACUAAGCGAAUGUGUUUGACAAGAAACAGAACACACUGCUUCAGUUCACAGUUAACCAAACAUAAACAACCGAAUAUCUACCUGCUUUCUCUAAGUGAAUACCAGUGGUUUUCAGAUGGUUCAGACCCGUGACUAUGAAGCCCUCUGGUAAUGUUUCCCUUCUGAUGGUCA
This is a non-coding RNA of Microcebus murinus (gray mouse lemur), 2665 nucleotides long. Lineage: Eukaryota; Metazoa; Chordata; Mammalia; Primates; Cheirogaleidae. The record is from RefSeq and is a predicted model, not a curated record.